This 449-nucleotide ribosomal RNA is filed under the name uncultured Pseudomonas sp. RNAcentral's name for it is "bacterial SSU rRNA". It matches the Rfam family "Bacterial small subunit ribosomal RNA", at positions 936 to 1382 of the family's 1533-position model. Lineage: Bacteria; Pseudomonadati; Pseudomonadota; Gammaproteobacteria; Pseudomonadales; Pseudomonadaceae. The record is from RNAcentral.
AGCAUGUGGUUUAAUUCGAAGCAACGACGAAGAACCUUACCAGGCCUUGACAUGCAGAGAACUUUCCAGAGAUGGAUUGGUGCCUUCGGGAACUCUGACACAGGUGCUGCAUGGCUGUCGUCAGCUCGUGUCGUGAGAUGUUGGGUUAAGUCCCGUAACGAGCGCAACCCUUGUCCUUAGUUACCAGCACGUUAUGGUGGGCACUCUAAGGAGACUGCCGGUGACAAACCGGAGGAAGGUGGGGAGUGACGUCAAGUCAUCAUGGCCCUUACGGCCUGGGCUACACACGUGCUACAAUGGUCGGUACAAAGGGUUGCCAAGCCGCGAGGUGGAGCUAAUUCCAUAAAACCGAUCGUAGUCCGGAUCGCAGUCUGCAACUCGACUGCGUGAAGUCGGAAUCGCUAGUAAUCGUGAAUCAGAAUGUCACGGUGAAUACGUUCCCGGGCCUU